AAAUUAAUUACUAUAGGUUAUUUAAGUAUUAAAAAAUUAUAAUAUUUAAUAAAAAAUAUAAAAUUGACAAAAAAUAAUAAAUUAAUUUUUGAUUUUUUAAAUUAACUUGAUGUCUUAUAUGAUGCCUAUUUAUGCUUUUUUCACAAUUAUUUUUUAAAGUAACUUUAUUAUAUCACUUCUAAUUAGUUAUUAUAAGUCAUUUAAGACACGAGUUCUUCGCUG
RNAcentral lists this long non-coding RNA (222 nucleotides) under Capsicum annuum. RNAcentral's name for it is "long non-coding RNA (CANN_LNC022248)". Lineage: Eukaryota; Viridiplantae; Streptophyta; Magnoliopsida; Solanales; Solanaceae. The record is from RNAcentral.